UGCAAGUCGAGGGGUAACAGGGAGCGCUUGCACUCUGCUGACGACCGGCGCACGGGUGCGUAACGCGUAUGCAAUCUACCUCUUACUGAGGGAUAGCCCAUGGAAACGUGGAUUAAUACCUCAUAGUAUUAUAGACUGGCCUCAGUUUAUGAUUAAAGGUUACGGUAAGAGAUGAGCAUGCGUCCUAUUAGCUAGAUGGUAAGGUAACGGCUUACCAUGGCUACGAUAGGUAGGGGUCCUGAGAGGGAGAUCCCCCACACUGGUACUGAAACACGGACCAGACUCCUACGGGAGGCAGCAGUGAGGAAUAUUGGACAAUGGGCGAGAGCCUGAUCCAGCCAUGCCGCGUGCAGGAAGACGGCCCUAUGGGUUGUAAACUGCUUUUACAGAGGAAGAACCCUCCUUACGUGUAAGGAGCUGACGGUACUCUAUGAAUAAGGAUCGGCUAACUCCGUGCCAGCAGCCGCGGUAAUACGGAGGUUCCAAGCGUUAUCCGGAAUCAUUGGGUUUAAAGGGUCCGUANGCGGGUCUAUAAGUCAGUGGUGAAAGUCUGCAGCUUAACUGUAGAACUGCCAUUGAUACUGUAGA
This 588-nucleotide ribosomal RNA is filed under the name uncultured bacterium. Its description in RNAcentral is "bacterial SSU rRNA". It matches the Rfam family "Bacterial small subunit ribosomal RNA", at positions 56 to 639 of the family's 1533-position model. The record is from RNAcentral.